UCCCCGGUGAUAUCAAGGGAAGUUGAUAAAGACUUCCCUUCCUUUUGUCUCAGGUGUUUAAAUAAAGAAAAUAGAUAAGCUUUCCCUGGUGAUAUCAAGGGAAGUUGAUUAAGACUUCCCUUCCUUUUGUCUCUGGUGUUUAAAUAAAGAAAAUAGAUAAGCUUUCCCCGGUGAUAUCAAGGGAAGUUGAUAAAGACUUCCCUUCCUUUUGUCUCAGGUGUUUAAAUAAAGAAAAUAGAUAAGCUUUCCCUGGUGAUAUCAAGGGAAGUUGAUUAAGACUUCCCUUCCUUUUGUCUCUGGUGUUUAAAUAAAGAAAAUAGAUAAGCUUUCCCUGGUGAUAUCAAGGGAAGUUGACUAAGAUUUCCCUUCCUUUUGUCUCUGGUGUUUAAAUAAAGAAAAUAGAUAAGCUUUCCCUGGUGAUAUCAAGGGAAGUUGAUUAAGACUUCCCUUCCUUUUGUCUCUGGUGUUUAAAUAAAGAAAAUAGAUAAGCUUUCCCUGGUGAUAUCAAGGGAAGUUGAUAAAGACUUCCCUUCCUUUUGUCUCUGGUGUUUAAAUAAAGAAAAUAGAUAAGCUUUCCCUGGUGAUAUCAAGGGAAGUUGAUAAAGACUUCCCUUCCUUUUGUCUCAGGUGUUUAAAUAAAGAAAAUAGAUAAGCUUUCCCCGGUGAUAUCAAGGGAAGUUGAUAAAGACUUCCCUUCCUUUUGUCUCAGGUGUUUAAAUAAAGAAAAUAGAUAAGCUUUCCCUGGUGAUAUCAAGGGAAGUUGAUUAAGACUUCCCUUCCUUUUGUCUCUGGUGUUUAAAUAAAGAAAAUAGAUAAGCUUUCCCUGGUGAUAUCAAGGGAAGUUGACUAAGAUUUCCCUUCCUUUUGUCUCUGGUGUUUAAAUAAAGAAAAUAGAUAAGCUUUCCCUGGUGAUAUCAAGGGAAGUUGACUAAGACUUCCCUUCCUUUUGUCUCUGGUGUUUAAAUAAAGAAAAUAGAUAAGCUUUCCCUGGUGAUAUCAAGGGAAGUUGAUAAAGACUUCCCUUCCUUUUGUCUCAGGUGUUUAAAUAAAGAAAAUAGAUAAGCUUUCCCUGGUGAUAUCAAGGGAAGUUGAUAAAGACUUCCCUUCCUUUUGUCUCAGGUGUUUAAAUAAAGAAAAUAGAUAAGCUUUCCCUGGUGAUAUCAAGGGAAGUUGAUAAAGACUUCCCUUCCUUUUGUCUCAGGUGUUUAAAUAAAGAAAAUAGAUAAGCUUU
Eriocheir sinensis (Chinese mitten crab) is the source of this 1231-nucleotide long non-coding RNA. RefSeq lists it as uncharacterized. The record is from RefSeq and is a predicted model, not a curated record. The transcript is spliced from 3 exons. Lineage: Eukaryota; Metazoa; Arthropoda; Malacostraca; Decapoda; Varunidae.